This 497-nucleotide ribosomal RNA is filed under the name uncultured bacterium. RNAcentral describes it as "partial 16S ribosomal RNA". It matches the Rfam family "Bacterial small subunit ribosomal RNA", at positions 28 to 507 of the family's 1533-position model. The record is from RNAcentral.
GACGAACGCUGGCGGCGUGCCUAAUACAUGCAAGUUGAGCGCUGAAGGUUGGUACUUGUACCGACUGGAUGAGCAGCGAACGGGUGAGUAACGCGUGGGGAAUCUGCCUUUGAGCGGGGGACAACAUUUGGAAACGAAUGCUAAUACCGCAUAAAAACUUUAAACACAAGUUUUAAGUUUGAAAGAUGCAAUUGCAUCACUCAAAGAUGAUCCCGCGUUGUAUUAGCUAGUUGGUGAGGUAAAGGCUCACCAAGGCGAUGAUACAUAGCCGACCUGAGAGGGUGAUCGGCCACAUUGGGACUGAGACACGGCCCAAACUCCUACGGGAGGCAGCAGUAGGGAAUCUUCGGCAAUAGACGAAAGUCUGACCGAGCAACGCCGCGUGAGUGAAGAAGGUUUUCGGAUCGUAAAAAUCUGUUGGUAGAGAAGAACGUUGGUGAGAGUGGAAAGCUCAUCAAGUGACGGUAACUACCCAGAAAGGGACGGCUAACUACGUG